This 253-nucleotide ribosomal RNA is filed under the name uncultured bacterium. RNAcentral describes it as "partial 16S ribosomal RNA". It matches the Rfam family "Bacterial small subunit ribosomal RNA", at positions 524 to 776 of the family's 1533-position model. The record is from RNAcentral.
UACGAAGGGGGCUAGCGUUGCUCGGAAUCACUGGGCGUAAAGCGCACGUAGGCGGAUCUUUAAGUCAGGGGUGAAAUCCUGGAGCUCAACUCCAGAACUGCCUUUGAUACUGGGGAUCUCGAGUCCGGGAGAGGUGAGUGGAACUGCGAGUGUAGAGGUGAAAUUCGUAGAUAUUCGCAAGAACACCAGUGGCGAAGGCGGCUCACUGGCCCGGUACUGACGCUGAGGCGCGAAAGCGUGGGGAGCAAACAGG